This 460-nucleotide ribosomal RNA is filed under the name uncultured bacterium. RNAcentral's name for it is "partial 16S ribosomal RNA". It matches the Rfam family "Bacterial small subunit ribosomal RNA", at positions 338 to 795 of the family's 1533-position model. The record is from RNAcentral.
CCUACGGGUGACAGCAGUGAGGAAUAUUGGUCAAUGGCCGGAAGGCUGAACCAGCCAUGCCGCGUGAAGGUCAGUGCCCCAUGGGCGUGUAACUUCUUUUGUGCGGGAGCAAUAAUGGUCACGUGUGGCCAGACGAGAGUACCGUACGAAUAAGCAUCGGCUAACCCCGUGCCAGCAGCCGCGGUAAUACGGGGGAUGUAAGCGUUUUCCGGAUUUAUUGGGUUUAAAGGGUGCGUAGGCUGUGCGGUAAGGCAGCGGUGAAAUGCCCCCGGUCAACGGGGUGAAGUGCCAUUGAUACUGCCUUGCUGGAGUGCGGAUGCGGUGGGCGGAAUGUGUGGUGUAGCGGUGAAAUGCAUAGAUAUCACACAGAACACCGAUUGCGAAGGCAUCUCACGGAUCCGAGAUUGACGCUGAUGCACGAAAGCGUGGGUAUCGAACAGGAUUAGAUACCCGUGUAGUC